Molecule: ribosomal RNA, 253 nt
Filed under: uncultured bacterium
Lineage: Bacteria
Description: partial 16S ribosomal RNA
Rfam family: Bacterial small subunit ribosomal RNA
Source: RNAcentral
UACGUAGGGUGCAAGCGUUAAUCGGAAUUAUUGGGCGUAAAGGGUGCGCAGGCGGUUGUAUAAGUCAGAUGUGAAAUCCCCGGGCUUAACCUGGGAAUUGCGUUUGAAACUAUAUGACUAGAGUGUGAUAGAGGGGAGUGGAAUUCCAUGUGUAGCAGUGAAAUGCGUAGAGAUGUGGAAGAACACCGAUGGCGAAGGCAGCUCCCUGGAUUAACACUGACGCUCAUGCACGAAAGCGUGGGGAGCAAACAGG